AGAGUUUGAUCCUGGCUCAGGCGAACGCUGGCGGCGUGCCUAAUGCAUGCAAGUCGCACGCUGUUCCUUCGGGAAUAGAGUGGCGAACGGCUGAGGAACACGUGGGGCCUCCCUUCAGUGGGGGACAACACCGCGAAAGCGGUGCUAAUCCCGCAUACGCUCUGCGGAGGAAAGCGUGAGCAAUCACGCGCUGAAGACUGGCCCUGCGGCCCAUCAGGUAGUUGGCGGGGUAACGGCCCACCAAGCCCGUGACGGGUCGCUGGUCUGUGAGGACGCCAGCCAGACUGGGACUGAGAUACGGCCCAGCUCCUACGGGAGGCAGCAGCAAGGAAUUUUCGGCAAUGGGCGCAAGCCUGACCGAGCAACGCCGCGUGCGGGAUGACGGCCUUCGGGUUGUAAACCGCUUUUGGGGGGGAAGAAUCGGACGGUACCCCCCGAAUAAGCCCCGGCUAACUCUGUGCCAGCAGCCGCGGUAAUACAGAGGGGGCAAGCGUUGUCCGGAUUGACUGGGCGUAAAGCGCACGUAGGUGGUUGGUUCGUGGUGUGUGAAAGCUCAGGGCUUAACCCUGAUAGGCCAUGCCAAACGAAUCAACUCGAGGCUGAGCAGAGGCGGGUGGAAUUGCCGGUGUAGUGGUGAAAUGCGUAGAGAUCGGCAGGAACACCAAGGGGGAACCCANNNGCUGGGCCAGUCCUGACACUGAGGUGCGACAGCGUGGGGAGCGAACAGGAUUAGAUACCCUAGUAGUCC
RNAcentral lists this ribosomal RNA (748 nucleotides) under uncultured bacterium. RNAcentral's name for it is "bacterial SSU rRNA". It matches the Rfam family "Bacterial small subunit ribosomal RNA", at positions 8 to 796 of the family's 1533-position model. The record is from RNAcentral.